AGUGAACGCUGGCGGUAGGCCUAACACAUGCGAGUCGAACGGCAGCACAGUAAGAGCUUGCUCUUACGGGUGGCGAGUGGCGGACGGGUGAGGAAUACAUCGGAAUCUACUUUUUCGUGGGGGAUAACGUAGGGAAACUUACGCUAAUACCGCAUACGACCUACGGGUGAAAGCAGGGGAUCUUCGGACCUUGCGCGAUUGAAUGAGCCGAUGUCGGAUUAGCUAGUUGGCGGGGUAAAGGCCCACCAAGGCGACGAUCCGUAGCUGGUCUGAGAGGAUGAUCAGCCACACUGGAACUGAGACACGGUCCAGACUCCUACGGGAGGCAGCAGUGGGGAAUAUUGGACAAUGGGCGCAAGCCUGAUCCAGCCAUACCGCGUGGGUGAAGAAGGCCUUCGGGUUGUAAAGCCCUUUUGUUGGGAAAGAAAGGCAGCAGGUUAAUACCCCGCUGUUCUGACGGUACCCAAAGAAUAAGCACCGGCUAACUUCGUGC
This 493-nucleotide ribosomal RNA is filed under the name uncultured bacterium. Its description in RNAcentral is "partial 16S ribosomal RNA". It matches the Rfam family "Bacterial small subunit ribosomal RNA", at positions 29 to 508 of the family's 1533-position model. The record is from RNAcentral.